GGAUUCCCCUAGUAACUGCGAGUGAAGCGGGAAAAGCUCAAAUUUAAAAUCCGGUAGUCUUUGGCUGCCCGAGUUGUAAUCUAGAGAAGCAUUAUCCGCGCUGGACCGUGUACAAGUGUCCUGGAAUGGACCAUCAUAGAGGGUGAGAAUCCCGUCUUUGACACGGACUCCCCAGGGCUUUUGUGAUGUGCUCUCAAAGAGUCGGGUUGUUUGGGAAUGCAGCUCUAAAUGGGUGGUAAAUUCCAUCUAAAGCUAAAUAUUGGCGAGAGACCGAUAGCGAACAAGUACCGUGAGGGAAAGAUGAAAAGAACUUUGGAAAGAGAGUUAAACAGUACGUGAAAUUGCUGAAAGGGAAACGCUUGAAGUCAGUCGCGUUGGCUUGGGGGAUCAACCUUGCUUUUUUGUUGCUUGGCUUACUUCCCAGUUGACGGGUCAGCAUCAGUUUUGACCAGUAGAUAAAGGUCAGGGGAAUGUGGCACCUUCGGGUGUGUUCUUUAUAGCCCUUGGUCAU
This 511-nucleotide ribosomal RNA is filed under the name Termitomyces sp. symbiont of Macrotermes malaccensis. Its description in RNAcentral is "eukaryotic LSU rRNA". It matches the Rfam family "Eukaryotic large subunit ribosomal RNA", at positions 72 to 574 of the family's 3401-position model. Lineage: Eukaryota; Fungi; Basidiomycota; Agaricomycetes; Agaricales; Lyophyllaceae. The record is from RNAcentral.